GAUGAACGCUGACAGAAUGCUUAACACAUGCAAGUCAACUUGAACUUCGGUUUGGGUGGCGGACGGGUGAGUAACGCGUAAAGAACUUGCCUCACAGAUAGGGACAACAUUUGGAAACGAAUGCUAAUACCUGAUAUUAUGAUUUUAGGGCAUCCUAGAAUUAUGAAAGCUAUAUGCACUGUGAGAGAGCUUUGCGUCCCAUUAGCUAGUUGGAGAGGUAACGGCUCACCAAGGCGAUGAUGGGUAGCCGGCCUGAGAGGGUGAUCGGCCACAAGGGGACUGAGACACGGCCCUUACUCCUACGGGAGGCAGCAGUGGGGAAUAUUGGACAAUGGACCAAGAGUCUGAUCCAGCAAUUCUGUGUGCACGAUGAAGUUUUUCGGAAUGUAAAGUGCUUUCAGUUGGGAAGAAAAAAAUGACGGUGCCAACAGAAGAAGUGACGGCUAAAUACGUGCCAGCAGCCGCGGUAAUACGUAUGUCACAAGCGUUAUCCGGAUUUAUUGGGCGUAAAGCGCGUCUAGGUGGUUAUGUAAGUCUGAUGUGAAAAUGCAGGGCUCAACUCUGUAUUGCGUUGGAAACUGUGUAACUAGAGUACUGGAGAGGUAAGCGGAACUACAAGUGUAGAGGUGAAAUUCGUAGAUAUUUGUAGGAAUGCCGAUGGGGAAGCCAGCUUACUGGACAGAUACUGACGCUGAAGCGCGAAAGCGUGGGUAGCAAACAGG
RNAcentral lists this ribosomal RNA (722 nucleotides) under uncultured Fusobacterium sp. RNAcentral's name for it is "bacterial SSU rRNA". It matches the Rfam family "Bacterial small subunit ribosomal RNA", at positions 28 to 776 of the family's 1533-position model. Lineage: Bacteria; Fusobacteriati; Fusobacteriota; Fusobacteriia; Fusobacteriales; Fusobacteriaceae. The record is from RNAcentral.